Molecule: ribosomal RNA, 253 nt
Filed under: uncultured bacterium
Lineage: Bacteria
Description: partial 16S ribosomal RNA
Rfam family: Bacterial small subunit ribosomal RNA
Source: RNAcentral
UACGAAGGGGGCUAGCGUUGCUCGGAAUCACUGGGCGUAAAGCGCACGUAGGCGGCUUUUUAAGUCAGGGGUGAAAUCCUGGAGCUCAACUCCAGAACUGCCUUUGAUACUGAGAAGCUUGAGUCCGGGAGAGGUGAGUGGAACUGCGAGUGUAGAGGUGAAAUGCGUAGAGAUCGGAAAGAACACCAACGGCGAAAGCACUCUGCUGGGCCGACACUGACACUGAGAGACGAAAGCUAGGGGAGCGAAUGGG